Long non-coding RNA from Syngnathus typhle (broad-nosed pipefish), 3723 nucleotides. RefSeq lists it as uncharacterized. The transcript is spliced from 4 exons. The record is from RefSeq and is a predicted model, not a curated record. NCBI's taxonomy places the organism in Eukaryota, Metazoa, Chordata, Actinopteri, Syngnathiformes, Syngnathidae.
GAUGUCUUGACGGUUUAUUGUGGUGUCCGAAAAAAAAACAAGCGAGUUGACUUCGUUUCCUACUUCCGGAUUUUAUUCAGAUUGCUGUUGUCAUGCUGUCGGGUUUUGUAGAUUGUUUUGUUUUGUCCUGCCCCUCGCGUUAUCACUUCCUGUUUUAUUUUGUACAGAUCACGGGUCCUUCCUCUGCACGGCCGUCCACUUGACCUCCCUGCUUUGCCCGUGAGACUUUGCCUUUAUUUUUCCCUCAGUUUGAGGCGCUUUUUGUUUGCUGUUCUCAGCCCUUUUUUCCCUCGUGUUGAGGAGCUUUUGUUUAUGCCCUUUUUCCCUCAUGUUGAGGCGCUUUUGUUUUUGCGCUUUUUCCCUCAUCGUGAGGAGUCUUUUGUUCUUGGAGCUGUUGGCAACGAAGGAAAUAAACUCCUUGAUUUUUUUUAAACUCUGCAUUCGAGUCCUCUCCCUGCCCUGAGCCUGACAGCUGUGAUUAUUUACGGCAAUGGGUCCCAUUUUAUUAGUCUUUGGUAUGACCUGGCUGGGUUUUGAACUCAUAACCUUCCAGUUUCAGGGUGGACACUACCACUAGGCCACAGAGCUGGAGCUUUUGUGUUGUGUUUAGUUUCUAUAAACUUUUAGCUUUUUUUUUUUUAAACUAUUUUAGCAGAUGCACUGAUUGUUUGGCAUUUUUAAUUUUGUUGUACAUGUGACAAUAAAGAUCUAUUUAUCCAUCUGUGUAACUAAUAAAGUUGUGACGCUAUGCCCAAACGGCUUUUUUUUUUUACUCCACCACGCAUUAAAGCGGGUGGAGAAGCCAAGCUGCCUUCGUUACAGCAAACCUGAAGACAGAGGUAAGUGUUUUCUCAGGUAUCUCCCCUCCAACUUCAAAUUUGUGAUGUGCCUAGUUUGUUUAUUUAUUUUAUACAAAUACAAGCAACAUUCCAAGUUGCUUUGGCCGCUUUCGGUCAUCCGUUUUGCAAUUUGUCCGAGUGAAGGUAAAGUGCUUCGCCUUAUCGCUAAAUGCUGCAGUGGGACAUGCGUUCGCCAGAUUGACAAGAACUUUGCACAUUUUUUGAAAUUUUCUUCACAGGCUUGGAAUGAAAUGGAAAUGUGUAUACAAAUAAAAGAUCCGAAAAAUUCGUAAUUUUUAUUGUUUGGCACUUUCUCUUUCAGCAUGAACAGAAAAGUAAUCAAAAUGUGGUGGACGCGGCGCGACAUUCGACCUGUGAAAUGGAUGGGCAUUAUGAAAACGUAACUGUUGCCCUCUGUGAUGGUAAGACCCCUUUUAAGAUGACUCUUUUCAGUCAUCUGGCUAGCAGAGUCACAGAGGUCAACAGUUACGUUUUCGCCCAUUUCAUGGCGGAGGCAAUAAAUCCCAACAUGCUGCUAUGUCAAAAGAGCAGCAGAAUAUACGUGGGGCGAAGGUGCAGUGCAGCGAUGCCUUGAGGGCUGAGGCACUCCACCUCAUUUUCCCCCCGUCGUUGCCAAUGCCCCUCAGCGAGGUUAUCAGAAACCCUCCUGAGGGGCUGGUAAACGUUCAGGGACAGGUUGAAAGUGUAAGUUUAAUUUACACGCACGUGCAUGUUAAAUAUCUAUUUAGAACUACUAAAAAUACAAAAAAUUGUUUUCUUGCAUUAAACAUUGCAGGAUAACGCAAUGGUAUGUCUUUGUUCCAAAUUAGAAACAGCCAAGCAGAAUAGUGUCUGUGCGCGGGGCUCGGUUGGUGCCAGUGAGCAUCGUGUUCCUAAAACAAAACGAAGCGGUCGUAAGAGUGGCCGUGUGGAGGGAGGCGACCUUGACCCCGAUCAAGGUUGGGGCCUUCUACACAUUCUCGCUCCUUAGUGCCGUGACAAAUGAUUUCGGCCUGUCCCUCAAUACGACCCAGUAUUCAAAGAUAUCGGGCUACAAUACAACUGUAAGCUUGGUGGCUAUUGGGCUAAUGAUGGAGGAGGAGGAGGAGGUCAAGUUGGUGGAUGGGGAGGGGGUCGAAACCACAAUUGCCUUGAGUGUAUGGACCAAGACUUUCGUUGAGCCACCAAAAUUACCAGAAGAUGGACUCCAAUUGAAACUCAUUUAUUCGGAGGGUGAAGUGGUGGAAAUUUGCAAAUAAAUUUUAUUUUGCCAAUGCUGUUCAUUUGCCUACAUUGUUUUCGGUCACAGUUAGGGGUUGGAUGGGGUGCAGGUGGGCUUUUCAUUGGGAAGAGUUUAAAUUUUCUGAUCAUUCACCCCAUUCAAACUUUCACACGUUCCAAAAAUUCAUGUCACGCUUGCUACCAUUAAAUGUCAUUUAGCGUUUUUUGUGUAAUUAGCAAAUUUGUCGCUUAAAAUCCCCCAUUCAUUCUUAAUGGCAAUGUCAACCCGAGCCAGUUUCCUGUAGUGGGUUCGAUUCCCACAUUGGGUGUCAUAAAUGAUUUUACUCUUUAUUCUUCCCGCUUAUCAUUUUCAACGCUUAUCAUUUGUAGCUUUUGUCAUUCACAUUCAACAUUCAUUACAUUAAGCAAUUUCCACCAAUUUGCUUACGCAUUCAACAAACACAUUCAUUACAUUAACCAAGUUCAACCACCUUGAAGGAAGGAACCUGAUUAGCUCAGUCGGUCGGGAGCACAAGCGUUUCAGCACACGAGCCGUGUAUCAAAACCCGCGUGGGUUCUUCAUGACACAAAUUCAUGUCAUUUAUUUCUGCCGCGUAUCAUUUGUAACAUUUUCCCAUUUUUCACAAUAAUUUAUUUCCCUUUUUAUUCUUUCCGCUUAGCAUUUGUGACUUUUUUGUAACAUUUGUAACAUUUUCACAUUUCACAAUAAUGUAUUUCCCUUUUUAUUCUUCCCGCUUAUCAUUUGUAACUUUUUUGAAACAUUUCAUUUUUAACGCUUAGCAUUUGUAACUUUUUUGUAACAUGUAUUUGUAACAUUUUCCCAUGCCUGCCAGCCUGUGUGCGUGCACGUACAAGACCCACAAUGCCCCGCGCGCAGCCAAGCUGGAAGAACCAGCCGCGGUUCUCCCCUGCCGCGGGAACGCGCAUGCCUUAUUUGGAAAGCGAAAAACCAAUCUCGUACGGCGUCAGCACUGUUGUUUUCAAUAAAAACAUGAACUCACGUUUGCUUCAGUCAAUUUCAAUUUUUAUAAAGGAUUAUUCUCAUUUGAUGUCUUUAAAUUCAUCCGCGUUCUGCCAUUGAAGAGGGGUGCAUUAAAAGACCAGUCGUACAGACGGAACACUCAUUCACUUCACCAAAACGCAGCAAUAUAAUUACGUGAGCUCUUUGCAUAAACCUCGAUGCAAAGAAACUCCUUUUUGGGUACAGGCUACAAGGAGUAUAUAGUACAAAGGAGACUUUAUACUUGAUUGUACGUCUGUUUGUUUCAACUUAGAAACAGCCAAGCAGAAUGGUGUCGGUACGGGGGGAUCGGUUGGUGCCAUUGAGCAUCGUAGACAUAAAACAAACUAUUGCAGAACGAAGCCGUCGUAAGAGUGGCCGUGUGGAGGGAGGCGAACUUGACCCCCAUCAAAGUUGGGGCAUUCUACGCCUUCACUCACCUUAAUGCCGUGACCAAUGAAUUCGCCCUGUCUCAACAUGACCCAAUAUUCAAAGAUAUCGGUGAGUAAAGAAAAGGCUGUAAAACGGAAAAGGAAUGUCAUCAGUUUAGGUUGUUUUGAAUGAACGAGUAUAAUACUACAAAUGCCGGCUUUCCAUACAAUCUCGUUCAAAUUUUACACCUUUAUGUGAAAGGCUGUUGAA